AAAAAAAUAAAAUUAAAAUUUGAAUUUAAAUUUAUAGGUUCCAAUAGUAUUAUUAUAAGGCUAAAUUACAGAAAAUUUUUAUGUCAAUAUUCGUUUUUUCACUUUCUUUCAUGUUAUUCAAAAAUCUAUAUUUUGUAUUCUUAAAAAAUAAAAAAUGUUUAAUUCAGUCCCCGUCGUCGGCCCCCGUCGUCAGUGUUCCAUUAGAACUCUUUUUAUAUUAUAUUUUUUAUACAAAAAAAUACCGUUGAAACCCUCAUCGUCCUCCUCCUUUCCUCACCGACAUUCUCGACCACGCAACCUCGCCCUUCUCCGCUGCCUCGCCCUCGCGCACUCCUCCGUACGUGCCCCCUUCCCCUCCUCCGCCGCCUCACCCUCGUCCUCGUCCACCUCUCCGCCCAUACCCACCACGAUCCCCCCUACAGUCGAUCGAAAUAGAGGAGCAGCAAGGGUGCUAAAGGAGUAGGGGAGUAGGUGGAGGAAUCGGAGUCAAAACUGAGAUCGAAGGGAUAAGAGUGUCGGAUGAGCAGGAUUGGAGAGAAGACAAACAAGAUGAGCACAAUUUGAUCAUUUUGUCACACUGUAUUUUCUUGUGAAUAUUUUUUGUUUUUUAAAAUGACAAAGUGUAAAUUUUUAAAUCACAAAAAAAAAAUAAAUAAAUAAAUAUUGACAGGAGGGUUUAAUCUUAGAU
This 688-nucleotide long non-coding RNA is filed under the name Ananas comosus (pineapple). RNAcentral's name for it is "long non-coding RNA (ACOM_LNC021899)". The record is from RNAcentral. Lineage: Eukaryota; Viridiplantae; Streptophyta; Magnoliopsida; Poales; Bromeliaceae.